This 497-nucleotide ribosomal RNA is filed under the name uncultured bacterium. RNAcentral's name for it is "partial 16S ribosomal RNA". It matches the Rfam family "Bacterial small subunit ribosomal RNA", at positions 28 to 507 of the family's 1533-position model. The record is from RNAcentral.
GAUGAACGCUGGCGGCGUGCCUAAUACAUGCAAGUCGAGCGAACGGACGAGAAGCUUGCUUCUCUGAUGUUAGCGGCGGACGGGUGAGUAACACGUGGAUAACCUACCUAUAAGACUGGGAUAACUUCGGGAAACCGGAGCUAAUACCGGAUAAUAUUUUGAACCGCAUGGUUCAAAAGUAAAAGACGGUCUUGCUGUCACCUAUAGAUGGAUCCGCGCUGCAUUAGCUAGUUGGUAAGGUAACGGCUUACCAAGGCAACGAUGCAUAGCCGACCUGAGAGGGUGAUCGGCCACACUGGAACUGAGACACGGUCCAGACUCCUACGGGAGGCAGCAGUAGGGAAUCUUCCGCAAUGGGCGAAAGCCUGACGGAGCAACGCCGCGUGAGUGAUGAAGGUCUUCGGAUCGUAAAACUCUGUUAUUAGGGAAGAACAUAUGUGUAAGUAACUGUGCACAUCUUGACGGUACCUAAUCAGAAAGCCACGGCUAACUACGUG